GCGGGAGUUCCUGAUCCAUUGACCUCGCUGGCACACGGAAGGGGCGCCUCGACUCCGGGGCGCCCCUUCACCCGAGCUUCCCAAGCUCAGAGCGCGAGUUCGAUUCUCGGCACCCGCG
This 118-nucleotide transfer RNA is filed under the name Streptomyces physcomitrii. Its description in RNAcentral is "Streptomyces sp. LD120 tRNA-Gly". Lineage: Bacteria; Bacillati; Actinomycetota; Actinomycetes; Kitasatosporales; Streptomycetaceae. The record is from RNAcentral.